CAUUUUCUGCCCCAACCAUGUGGUUCAAGCAAUUUGAAGCAAGUCUUAAGUCUUCUUUGUAUUCUCAGUUUUAAAAGAAGAAAAAGAAAGGGUAUUUAUACUGAUAAAGAAAGGGUAUUUAUACUGAUAAUCCGAAAGUUAAUCGAUGUUAUAUGGAAAUAUUACAUCCUAAUUCUUUGGCAGCAGUGUCGAGGAACUGUAUAGUCAUUCCUCUUGCAAGCUGACUAUAAACUUCCCAUGUUAAGCACUUUUCGAUAUCAG
This 261-nucleotide long non-coding RNA is filed under the name Gossypium barbadense (sea-island cotton). RNAcentral describes it as "long non-coding RNA (GBAR_LNC003996)". Lineage: Eukaryota; Viridiplantae; Streptophyta; Magnoliopsida; Malvales; Malvaceae. The record is from RNAcentral.